CAUAAUCCUUGCAAGUCACUCUGGCUUAAAGCAGGAAGAUAUGUUAGAAUAAUAAUUUUAUUAUAAACAAUCAAAACAGUUUUGGCCCUUGAGAAACACUCAGCAUACAAAAUAAAAUUUUGAGUUCCUACCUGAGCAAGUCAGCUUUCAACCUUCACUUAGAGGGAACCUGCCUGCCCGACAAUGCGCCAGCCAGGAAGUGGAGUGUCUCCACAGAGAGGAUGAGAAUAGACAUCUCAUCUGCAGCCGGGUUGUGCAAGGUCUGCAUCAGGGGAUAGCCC
Molecule: long non-coding RNA, 281 nt
Filed under: Mytilus galloprovincialis (Mediterranean mussel)
Lineage: Eukaryota; Metazoa; Mollusca; Bivalvia; Mytilida; Mytilidae
Source: RNAcentral